UCAUUAGAACAGAAGAGUAAAUACUCAAUAAGUGUUAGCUGCUGACACUAAUAACAUUACUAGUUCUACCAUUUGACAAUUCAUUAUAUUCCAAAUAGAAAGCACUGGCAUUUAAUAUUAAUUAAGAGUAAAUAAAGAGGGGCUAUGUUUGUAAAAGGUCAUCUCUGAUUUUGAGUCUGUUUGGUAUCCUAUUACAUCCAACACAGGAAUAAGGAAUUAAUUAGGACUUCUGUCAGGACUAGUGAUGUGGCCACGUGACUCUACUAGGCAAUGGCAGAUGUGACUAAGAAAAUAACUGGCCAUGGAGGCUUCUGUGGGGAUGCGCUCCCUCCUUCAGAACCAGCAGAAUCACCAUGUCCUGGAUGUUAUGAAUGUGCUCAGCAGAUGAUGUGAGCAAGUAGAGGCAAAAAGUUCUUGAUUCACUACCUGAAGAAGCCCUCCAGAUGCCAGGCCUGCCUAGGAAACAUCUCAACUGAUGGAUCCCCUGAUUACCCAGGAGCAUCCCACUCUGGAGAUGGUUUCUGUGGGCUUGGCCACACACGCUACCAGUAGCUCGAAGAGGUCCCUCAGCAUGGCAUUGAU
Microcebus murinus (gray mouse lemur) is the source of this 582-nucleotide non-coding RNA. NCBI's taxonomy places the organism in Eukaryota, Metazoa, Chordata, Mammalia, Primates, Cheirogaleidae. The record is from RefSeq and is a predicted model, not a curated record.